GACGAACGCUGGCGGCGUGCCUAAUACAUGCAAGUCGAGCGAAUCAAUAGGAGCUUGCUCCUGUUGGUUAGCGGCGGACGGGUGAGUAACACGUGGGCAACCUGCCUGUAAGACUGGGAU
This 120-nucleotide ribosomal RNA is filed under the name uncultured bacterium. RNAcentral's name for it is "partial 16S ribosomal RNA". It matches the Rfam family "Bacterial small subunit ribosomal RNA", at positions 28 to 144 of the family's 1533-position model. The record is from RNAcentral.